Molecule: long non-coding RNA, 231 nt
Filed under: Capsicum annuum
Lineage: Eukaryota; Viridiplantae; Streptophyta; Magnoliopsida; Solanales; Solanaceae
Description: long non-coding RNA (CANN_LNC004059)
Source: RNAcentral
CGCCAUCUGAUCGCAUACUCCCUGAAGCUCUCAGUAUUCUUCUUCUUCAUACUAGUUAGGGAUUUUUCAUCAGGGAUCAUGUCACGCCUUAAAUCCUAUUAGGUUGGACUGGCACCCGUAAUCGAGGAGGCCCGGGAGAACCAGCUCAUAACCUUAUACUUCCCAUGCAUACCUCUAUGACAACCUGAAAUUCGAACAGCAUUAUGUCGCAUAUAAAAGGAAAUAAUCACC